AUCCAGUUGACGAAUGCCAAAUAUGACGAAAUGCGCAUCCUGGAU
Molecule: non-coding RNA, 45 nt
Organism: Trichobilharzia regenti
Lineage: Eukaryota; Metazoa; Platyhelminthes; Trematoda; Strigeidida; Schistosomatidae
Source: Rfam